This 109-nucleotide transfer RNA is filed under the name Agaricus bisporus var. bisporus H97. RNAcentral describes it as "tRNA-Met". It matches the Rfam family "tRNA". From Rfam's summary of the family: Transfer RNA (tRNA) molecules are approximately 80 nucleotides in length. The record is from RNAcentral. Lineage: Eukaryota; Fungi; Basidiomycota; Agaricomycetes; Agaricales; Agaricaceae.
GCUUCCAUGGCUCAGUUGGUCAGAGCGCCGGUCUCAUAAGUUGAAAUAUGAGUGACUUUUGAAGAGUCAUUUAAUCCGGAGAUCACCAGUUCGACCCUGGUUGGGAGCA